Molecule: ribosomal RNA, 934 nt
Filed under: uncultured bacterium
Lineage: Bacteria
Description: bacterial SSU rRNA
Rfam family: Bacterial small subunit ribosomal RNA
Source: RNAcentral
UUGAUCCUGGCUCAGGAUGAACGCUAGCGGCAGGCUUAACACAUCCAUGUCGAGGGGUAGAAGCAGCUUGCUGCUUUGAGGCCGGCGCACGGGUGCGUAACGCGUAUACAAUCUACCUUUUACAGAGGGAUAGCCCAGAGAAAUUUGGAUUAAUACCUCAUAGUAUUUUCGAAUCGCAUGAUUUGAUUAUUAAAGUUCCAACGGUAAAAGAUGAGUAUGCGUCCCAUUAGCUAGAUGGUAAGGUAACGGCUUACCAUGGCAACGAUGGGUAGGGGUCCUGAGAGGGAGAUCCCCCACACUGGUACUGAGACACGGACCAGACUCCUACGGGAGGCAGCAGUGAGGAAUAUUGGACAAUGGGCGCAAGCCUGAUCCAGCCAUGCCGCGUGCAGGAAGACGGUCCUAUGGAUUGUAAACUGCUUUUAUACAGGAAGAAACACACCCUCGUGAGGGUACUUGACGGUACUGUAUGAAUAAGCAUCGGCUAACUCCGUGCCAGCAGCCGCGGUGAUACGGAGGAUGCAAGCGUUAUCCGGAAUCAUUGGGUUUAAAGGGUCCGUAGGCGGCCAAAUAAGUCAGUGGUGAAAGCCCAUCGCUCAACGAUGGAACGGCCAUUGAUACUGUUUGGCUUGAAUUAUUAGGAAGUAACUAGAAUAUGUAGUGUAGCGGUGAAAUGCUUAGAGAUUACAUGGAAUACCAAUUGCGAAGGCAGGUUACUACUAAUAUAUUGACGCUGAUGGACGAAAGCGUGGGGAGCGAACAGGAUUAGAUACCCUGGUAGUCCACGCCGUAAACGAUGGAUACUAGCUGUUCGGAGCAAUCUGAGUGGCUAAGCGAAAGUGAUAAGUAUCCCACCUGGGGAGUACGUUCGCAAGAAAUGAACUCAAAGGGAAUGACGGGGGCCCGCACAAGCGGUGGAGCAUGUGGUUUAAUU